Long non-coding RNA from Bos mutus (wild yak), 428 nucleotides. NCBI's taxonomy places the organism in Eukaryota, Metazoa, Chordata, Mammalia, Artiodactyla, Bovidae. The record is from Ensembl.
AGUGACUGAGAAGUUUCCUCUAGACGCCUCCUUGUCUUCUAGAAGCAUCUAUUCAUUCUUAACGCUCUGGGAAAUGAAUGAGAAAAACAAAGACACCUGGCAGAAAGCAGUUGUGUUCGAUGUAUCAAGAUGGACGUUGGGAAACAUGGAAGGGGUACCUUCAGGAUGCCUGAGAAAGGUCUUCAAGAUGACACAUCACAAGCCUCGUGCUGGAAAUUCGCAGUGAGAACCAGAUACAAACCUCCAUGGAUACAAUAGCAGUUUACGGAUUAUCUUUGGCACAAACUUCUGCCUUCUUGUGAGCGUGAACGAAAAAAGGUGCAGACAAUCCAGCGUUUCUGUUGGGGUUCACUGAUUGGAAAGUUGGCAAUAUUAAAAUGUGUAUUUAUCAAAAUCAUGGAUUCCUUGAGGCUGGACGUAAUUUUUCC